GACGAACGCUGGCGGCGUGCUUAACACAUGCAAGUCGAACGGGCCCGUCCUUGUUUUUGGGGGCGGGUUGAGUGGCGAACGGGUGAGUAUCACGUGAGUAACCUGCCCUCCUCUCCUGGAUAACCGCUUGAAAGGGCGGCUAAUACGGGGUGGUCCGGUUGGUCCGCAUGGGCCGGCUGGGAUAGUUUCAUCUUCGGGUGUUUCGGUGGGGGAUGGGCUCGCGGCCUAUCAGCUUGUUGGUGGGGUGAUGGCCCACCAAGGCGGUGACGGGUAGCCGGCCUGAGAGGGUGGGCGGCCACACUGGGACUGAGACACGGCCCAGACUCCUCGGGAGGCAGCAGUGGGGGGUAUUGCACAAUGGGCGGAAGCCUGAUGCAGCGACGUCGCGUGAGGGAUGGAGGCCUUCGGGUUGUGAACCUCUGUUUCCGGUGGUGAAGGCCCCGCC
RNAcentral lists this ribosomal RNA (445 nucleotides) under Actinomyces sp. oral taxon 525. RNAcentral's name for it is "bacterial SSU rRNA". It matches the Rfam family "Bacterial small subunit ribosomal RNA", at positions 28 to 458 of the family's 1533-position model. Lineage: Bacteria; Bacillati; Actinomycetota; Actinomycetes; Actinomycetales; Actinomycetaceae. The record is from RNAcentral.